GACGAACGCUGGCGGCGUGCUUAACACAUGCAAGUCGAGCGGUAAGGCCCUUUCGGGGGUACACGAGCGGCGAACGGGUGAGUAACACGUGGGUGACCUGCCCUCAGCUCUGGGAUAAGCCUGGGAAACCGGGUCUAAUACCGGAUAUGACUCCAUGACGCAUGUUGUGGGGUGGAAAGCCUUGUGCGGCUGAGGAUGGGCCCGCGGCCUAUCAGCUUGUUGGUGGGGUGANGGCCUACCAAGGCGACGACGGGUAGCCGGCCUGAGAGGGCGACUGGCCACACUGGGACUGAGACACGGCCCAGACUCCUACGGGAGGCAGCAGUGGGGAAUCUUGCGCAAUGGGCGAAGACCUGACGCAGCGACGCCGCGUGAGGGAU
This 380-nucleotide ribosomal RNA is filed under the name uncultured bacterium. RNAcentral's name for it is "bacterial SSU rRNA". It matches the Rfam family "Bacterial small subunit ribosomal RNA", at positions 28 to 409 of the family's 1533-position model. The record is from RNAcentral.